UACGUAGGGGGCAAGCGUUGUCCGGAAUUAUUGGGCGUAAAGAGCUCGUAGGCGGUCUGUUGCGUCGGCUGUGAAAACCCGGGGCUCAACUCCGGGCCUGCAGCCGAUACGGGCAGACUAGAGUUCGGCAGGGGAGACUGGAAUUCCUGGUGUAGCGGUGAAAUGCGCAGAUAUCAGGAGGAACACCGGUGGCGAAGGCGGGUCUCUGGGCCGAUACUGACGCUGAUACGCGAAAGCGUGGGGAGCAAACAGG
Molecule: ribosomal RNA, 253 nt
Filed under: uncultured bacterium
Lineage: Bacteria
Description: partial 16S ribosomal RNA
Rfam family: Bacterial small subunit ribosomal RNA
Source: RNAcentral